UAUAAAAUAAGUGUUAAUGUAUGACAGCAAUAAGUAAUGUUUACGUUAGAUAAGUCUGAAAAUAUCCACAAUGGGAUCAGAGGCAAGGACUCUUUCCGCGACGGCGGAAGCAGCAGGGCAGAUUGGCGUACACAGUGAGAAGUGAGGAUACUAUAGAGUACUUCUUCAAGAAACCUGGCUGUUAAGAAGACAUGGCUGAGUGGGAAGUGAAGCCAACUGGCUGGUAACGCGCGUAACUCAGGGGGCCUCGCCCUCCAGCCCUCGUCACUGGCCAGCCCCACCCCAGGCGACGGGCGCGGUGGGCGUGGUCGGGCAUCGCGCAGACUACGUCCCCCAGAAGGCUUCGCGGCGCAGGGCGGAGUUGAGGCCUGGCGCUAGCUGCUGCGGCGCGAGCGGAAGAGACGGAGCUUGGGGAGGCGGCGGAAGAGGAGUUCGGCGGCGUCCCGAUUAAGGUGAUGCCAUGCAGGAAGAAGUGGAGAGAUGCAGAGGUCGAGCCAAAAGGCCUGACAUGGCACUUUAUGUACCUAAAGCUCGGAGGGGUACAGUACUUCCCAAGACCAGUGAUAAGGAAAAAAUCUGUGGUCUGCCUAACUCUGUGAUGAAAGAACAACAAAAAGAAGGUUGUCAUUCCCAAAAGCUGAUCUUUGAAGAAAAACUUGAGGCUCAGAGACUAAAUAUUAAUCCUGGUAAGAAGGAGCCUAAUUGUAGAGAAGGGAAGAAAUCUUCAACAAAAUUAAGAGAAGACACAUGCCUUCAUAAAAGGAAUAAAGACAGGGUUUGUACUAAGAGAGGACACACAGUAUCCAAAGUAUUAUCCCAAGAACAUCAGCAAAGAGUCCCAAAUGCUGUGGUUAUGCCUAGAGCACCUUUACAAAGAUAUUUUAAACCAAAGACAAUGGAAAGUUUAGAGGUUCACACUACAGAUGUGACAGGAUAUGAAGGAAUACUUCUGUCACAGUCUUGUUCAAAAAUUAGUGAGGCUAAUCAGGCUCUAAGCAGACCAUUUCAGAAUGUAGAAUUCUGUGAUUUCAGUAGACAUGAACUAAGUGGGGAAAAUUUUGAAGACAAAGAUUUGGGAAGCAAAAUUGAAACUGGUACCAAAGUUGUGGAGAUAAUAACCCAGUUUCCCAGAGAUUUUACUGCUGUAUUAAAACCUGAGAGUGCAGAACUAUGCUUGGAUUCUGAAGUUACACAGCAAAGUGUGCAAAUACCAGAUGGAACAUUGAAGCUCAGCAAUGAAAGCUUCACUGCUAUUUCUGUUUCUGGAAGUCCAGAUACUGUCAUUGAUCAGAUUUGUGUAGAUUUUGAAGUUGAGAAUGUAGGUGAUGUAGCCAACAGUACAAGUUUCAUCCUGGAUCAGAAAGGUACAGAUUCCAUUCCUGAGACUGUGGGUCACAUCUCUCAUAAAAUGACUACGGUCAGCAAAUUAGAGCACACAAAUGGCAUUAUUGAUCUAACAGUGAUUAGAGGAUGUGAGGAGAAUGACAGCACUGCUCAUGAGUUAUGUGGAAAGUGUGAACCCGAUACAGCUGUCCUUGCUCAUGAAGCAGAUGAUGGAUCUAAGAGUGUAGAUGACAUUAUUACUAAGGCAUGUAUGAUGGACAUUACAGGUGCCACAUACAAUCAUUUAGCUGUAAGUAGCCCUUGUGUAGUUCGACCAGCUGAUACUUGUAGCGAUACAAGUAGAUUCUCAAAAUACAUAGAAAUGAAUGCAGAUAAAGCUCCUCUUCAUGUGGUUAGAAGUGAGAAUGAAAAUUUCAGCAACCUGACUGCUUGCUCAGAUACUUACACAGAAAGUAUUUCAUCUAGUUUUACAGAGUCAACAGGAAAGUUGAUAAAGAGCAUGACAGCUUGUGCUUCCUUCUUUCCUAUAAAGAAGAUUGCUUGCAGUAAUUAUAAUAGUUUUUCCGACUCCGAACUACAUAUGUCAAAUGGGACAAAACUUUCAGAGAAUGCCUUGGGCAGUGAUCUAGAUAUUACUGGUGAUAUAUCACAGGCAUUACAUGAACUAAGAACUGCUAAAGAGUUCACAACAAAAGAACAAGAUGACUCAGAGAAUAUAGAAUUUGGUGUAUCAUUUCCUGUUAGAGCAUCAUCUAUGGAAACAUCUGUGGAACUAAAAUCAGCUGAAACUUCUCACAUAGCAGAAAGUACUGCUGUGGAGGAGAGCUGGGAAUCUAUGUUUAAUGACGAUGGUGACUGUGUAGAUCCACAUCUUCUACAAGAGUUAUCAGGGAAUAUGAAGAAUGAAGAAAGCAUCCAGGAACCCAGAUUUGAUUAUUACAACCAUGAAGUUCCUGAUAUUGACCUCAGUGAAUGUGAGUUCCCACAUGUCAUUGAAAUUUAUGACUUCCCCCAAGAAUUUCGUACAGAAGACCUUCUACGGGUUUUCUGCAGUUACCAAAAGAAAGGAUUUGAUAUUAAAUGGGUGGACGAUACACAUGCUUUAGGAGUAUUCUCCAGUCCAAUCACAGCUCGUGAUGCUUUGAGUAUUAAACAUACCAUGGUGAAGAUCCGGCCCUUGUCACAGGCCACAAGAGCAGCCAAGGCCAAAGCUAAAGCUUAUGCUGAAUUCCUUCAGCCACCAAAGGAAAGACCUGAGACUUCAGCAGCCUUAGCCAGAAGGUUAGUCAUCAGUGCCCUUGGGGUUCGAAGCAAGCAGAGCAAAACAGAACGAGAAGCAGAGAUCAAGAAACUGCAAGAAGCCAAAGAGCGAAAGCGUUUGGAAGCCAAGCAGCGAGAAGACAUCUGGGAAGGCAGAGAACAAUCUGCAGUUUGAACAUCAUUCAAUGAAAAGGAAAACUCCGUGAAUUCCAAAAGUAUUUCUGUAGCCUCAUAUAAGAGGAUUCUUCCAGGGCUGCUGUGUACACGCGAACAUGGAUGUUAAAGAAAGUGAAAAGGCUAUCAAAACAAAGAUUUACUGGGUACAGAGUGAAGAUAUACUCUUGUCUUUACUCCUAAAUGCAGUUCUUUGUUACUGCCGUACUGUGGUAAAUAUAAAAGGGAGCCAUCAACUGGGAAGAAACACAGAACAUACAGCUUCCAAGAGUCCCCUGGAUAGAGCAAGUCAUGGAUCACACUUUAAAUGUGUAAAGCAAAUACAAAGCAGAACAGAGAAUUCAAACCUGCAGUGAUGGGAGGUUUAGGUCCUGCAAAGGCAAAGCAUUCCUUAGUACCUUACAAAGCUAAAAACAGCAAUAUUGGGUACAGGAAGAGGGGACAAUAUGGAGCAAUGAAUACAGAUAGAAUAGUGCUAUACUUGGCAAACACAGAAUCUGUACUGCGAAUCCCAGAACUCCAGAGUUGGUGAACUUCCACAGAUGUGCGUAUCUGGAUCCAGAAUUGGUACAGAACUCCAUGCCUGGGGCUGCUCUAGUGCACAGCAACCAGGAACCUGACAGCUUCAUUCCUCAAGCCAGUCUUGAGGAGUUGUGUGCCAUUUCUACUUUAAACAGUGAUGUGUUGUAAGAGGGAAACAUUAAAGGUCAUUUUAUGACAUAUAUCACUUGAUAUUUAUCCAUUUUUUUUUCUUUCCCACAAAAAAGAUGAGAGCAACUCUGUUCUUCAUGCCUAUGUGGUUAUACAUAGGUUAAGUGGAUCUGUUGCUUUUAUUGAAUCCAGUGAAUAGAAUCUCUCUGCCCAGAAUAUAUUUUUGAAAUGACCAUCCUGGGAUUCUCAAUGUUUUUGAAAAGUAUUAUGCCCCAAAGAAAUGGUAGUGCUGGGUCUUAAGGUGCUGACAUGGCGAAACAUGACACUGGCCUUCUGUCUUAGUCCUUACUCAACUGUCCCUGUGCUGUUCUGGUCAUAGAGCCCUCUCACUGUUCUUAAUCUUGUUUUUCUCAUUCUUGGUCAGUUCUUCCAGUGUCGCAUGUUCCUACUAACUGCCUCCAUGCCAGGAAAUCGAGUAAGUCACUGUCAUGUCCCUUUGUUACUUCUACUUAGUCUUUCACUUGUGUUACAUAUCUUCAUGGUAGGAAAUGCAUGGCCUCAUACUGAAUGGUUUAUCUCUGAAAUACGCUGCUGUUUGCAUUGCUGGGGGUAAACCUACAGUCUUAUGCAUGCUAGGUGAGCACUACUGAGCUGUUUUUCAAGCCCAUGUUUUGAUACUUCAAGGCUAAGUAUGUCCUUGGGAGUUAAAGAGAUGACUGUUCCUAUCACUUGCCUGUGAGGGUGCUUCCCUUUUGUGACUGUUCUUUAACUUUUAAAGGCAUUGUUAAUGGUAACAAACAGUUCCAUGUUUAUUACUGUUUUUUUAUAACCCUCAUAAUUUCAAGGUCUCAUUUUUGUUCUCAUUCUGAGGCAGUAUACUAGCAGCCUUUCCUUUGUUUUAGCUUACAGCCGGCCAUCUUUAAUUCUCAGGUUUAUCUUUAUAACCAACUUCAGAAAAAGGGAUUUUUUUAAAGCCCUCAUCUGACAAUUAUGGAGGGUUGCUUUUGUCAUUAGUUGAAUGUGCUUUGUAGUUAUUGACCCGAGUAGUUGGGUUUGAUGUAUACUGGCCAGAGAUAAGAGGUUCUGCCAUGGCCCAACAGACUGCCUUGAGUUUAUCCAGAUGAAAAUCAAAUCCUACAUUAUGUCUAAAUCAUACCUUCACAAGUAGAAUUAAGUGGCGAGUACCCUGUAGCCUCCGUGGGCUCCUUUGUUAGACAAUUGUAAAGACAGCUUGUGUACUCUUGCUGUGGGUGUUCUUCAUAUAUGUCAAAUAUCUAAGCCUCAGGAUCACCUGGAAUUUAUAGUAGAAAAGUACUUUGCCCAUGUUCUAAUUCCCUCCUCAGGGUGAAAGUCUUUGUAGAAUAGUAGUAAGUUUAAGGAAAAAAAAAAUAAGUUUAAGCUGAAGUUCCUAUACUUUAAUUUCUGAGGUCAGAGUGUGCUGAGGUGAGAGUCAUAGGCUUUUGGUUCAGUCUGGAAUUUUGUGGUUGGUAUUCAAUUAGCAUUCCUCAUCUAGUUAUAAGGCAUGCCAGCCACCAGUCUUCCCAUGACCUUCCCUUUCAACUCAGUGCUAUAACAACACAACCCUUGUGUAGCUUUUUCCAGGAAUUAUAACAGGCUGUACCUAUCAGACGUGUGAUGUGGGCAGCAAGACUGAGAUCAGAGCCAGUGGCUGCCUGGCCUGCUUUUUCUGGCUGUCUUGGAAAUUAGAUUCAGCAGGAGGCUGAGGGUAACCUUCUUGUCUAAAUCUAGUCAUCAGUCACUACACACUCACUGGCUAGCUACACAUUCUUUCAUACACCAUUUGCUGCAUAUGUGAGAAUAAUGUUGUUACUGUUUGGGAGAGGUUUGCUGGAUCCAACAGGAAAUCAGUCCUCCUGUUUACCUAAAACGCCAUGCCAGAGUAUAAUACUCCCUUUCCCAAAUAAAGGGGAUGAGAAGGUUGAGAAGCAAAAAGGUAGAGGAGAGGAAGGAAGAAAGCACUUCUUUGUAUUCACAGACGGUACCACCUGGACUGGAGAAGUCCCUUUGACUCCUUAUGGAGAGAGAAAUUCUUGUGAUGUGGAUGGAGACAAACUACUCAAUGUCCACUGAAUCAGGAUUCAAAUCCAGGGCCUUGAGCUCCCCAAUAAUUGUUCACCAUGGCACAGCUUCUUCAAGUGAUAGACCUGUUGGAGGCUGCACGGAAAACUCUGCCUUCAUCUUACCUGAAAGAUGUAGUCACCUGGGCCAACAUCUGUGAUAUCCACCCACUGGCAAUCAAUAUCAUGCCGGAAGGUUGGCAGGGCAGGUUUGUAUCCUGAUGUGAUAGGUGCUUUUGGCCACAGAGAUGGAAAAUGGAGUUGGUGCUUCUACUACUCAAACCUGCCACCAUGCAGCUGAGAGCUGAGUCCAGCAUUUAGAGCCUUUUGAUGGUAAGAAGCAAAACAGUGGACCUACCUUGAGAGCAAAGUUGGCAAAACCCAGGCCGAGCUGUCGACAGACCACCAUGGCCUCGAUGUCCAGAACCCAGGGCCACCAAGAGAAGAUCCAGAGCAUAUCCAGUCUCUCCUUCCCCAUCCCGGCUCCCUCACUCACCUUGGCCCAGCUGGGCCCUAAACAGGGCUUCGCGUGCGGAUCCAAAGCCAAGCUGGCGACAUACAACACUGGCAGAGAUGAGGUUCCAUCGGUGG
This is an RNA transcript of Fukomys damarensis (Damara mole-rat), 6098 nucleotides long. It is a transcript of the gene named R3H domain and coiled-coil containing 1 like, with no coding region annotated. NCBI's taxonomy places the organism in Eukaryota, Metazoa, Chordata, Mammalia, Rodentia, Bathyergidae. The record is from RefSeq and is a predicted model, not a curated record. The transcript is spliced from 11 exons.